Molecule: long non-coding RNA, 42604 nt
Filed under: Prunus persica (peach)
Lineage: Eukaryota; Viridiplantae; Streptophyta; Magnoliopsida; Rosales; Rosaceae
Description: long non-coding RNA (PPER_LNC006115)
Source: RNAcentral
CCCACCAAGUCCUGCCACACCCAAAUGCUUUCUAGGCUCAGUCAUGCCAUAAUAUUUUGUUGGACUGUACACAAUGAUCCCAGCACAUAAAAGUGGUGCACCCGCAUCGGGGGCUAAGUUAUCUGGAAAGCGGAGCAUAUAGCGAUGGUUAACAACAAUCAUAUCAGAAUAACCACCAUAAGUUUUUGUUCGGUCGUGAUCGAGUGAGUUAUAGGUAAAUAUUGUUCGUGGGCAGUAGUUCUCUAAGUCCUGGUCGCAGGUCUCACAUUUCAUGCAGGAACCUACUGUUGGCGUGACUUGUGGAUAUUGACUUACUUUCCUUACACACCAAGAAUUCAUAUUAUAAUUGUAAUUGAUUUACUUUAAUUCAUGAUUUCCUACUGUAAAUAGAUUUAGGAAUUUAUUAUUUACUUGCCCAUUCAGGUUUCAUUGUAUUAUAAAUAUGACCUCCUACAAGGAGAAGAAUACACAGAAAAUUCCCACAAACAAAUAUUCUCUCAUAGUUUUCAUAUUUUAGCAUGGUAUCAGAGCGGCGAUCUUGGAAUUGCUCACUUUAGUUUCAAACCCCCGCCACCGUUAUGGGGGUUGAUGAUUUUUUCAACCCUCAUGGAGGUAGCACCACCGACUCCUUCUCUCAUUCUCAAUAAACCAUCGUUGAGUUGAGUGCCCAGAUGGCUCCGCUCCUAUAAAUGCAGACUUUGACCCUGAACCCGAUCCAGAAUUAGGAUCCUCUUUUGACGACCCUGACCUCAACUAUGACGACGAUGACGACGACCCCGACCCCCACUCCGAUGAUGACCCCAAUCCCGAAUUUGUCUCUGAUUCAGACCCUGAUCCCGAUUUCGACUCCGACUCCGGCCCCGACACAGGCUCAGAUUUCGAUCCAAAUUCCUACUCAACCUGUAUCCUAUGCAUCUUCCGCUGCACAGAUUAUGACUUCUAGACUAACGACCCCGACACAUGGACCAGAUUGCUCAUAUUGUGGUGAUUCGAGACACACUUGUGAGACUUGUUUUAAAUCGCAUGUCUACCCCGAUUGGUGGGCUACUAUUACAUAUCGAGGACAAUGCACCAGUAAUGGUACUGGUUAUGGAUUCCAUACUUCCGAUAAGAUUGAUUCUAGGAGCUGGAUAAUUGAUUCUGGUGCAACUGAUCAUAUGAUGUUUGAUCCUGAUGAUUUUCUGAAUACUACACAACCUCGACGAACCUGUAUUGCAAAUGCCAAUGGUGUUACUUAUCCUGUGACAAGGGCUGGCACUGUUGCAUUCUCAUCCUCUCUCACAUUGUCUAAUACUUUACUUAUUCCAUCUUUAUCCACUAAAUUGUUGUUAGUUAGUCAGCUUACUGAAUUGAAUUGUUGUGUACUCAUUUACCCGAGUUUUUGUUUGCUUCAGGAUAUUCGUACUAAGGAGAUUCUUGGUUGUGGUACUAAGAUAGGGGGGCUAUAUUAUGUCGAUGACUUCAGUCCCGACGUGGCUAACAGUGUGACACAUCCGUUUGAUAGCAAACAAAAGCAAAUCUGGUUGUGGCACCGUCGAUUGGGACAUCCGUCUUUUAGAUAGCAUCUUAUACCAGAUUUAUUCUCAUGUUUCAAGGACUCCGACUUCACAUGUGAUACUUGUAUUUUAGCCAAGAGUCACCAUAUGCCCUACCCGUUGAGUACGAACAAGUGUACUCCUUCAUUUACGUUAAUUCACUCUGAUGUCUGGGGACCUUCGCCUAUCACUGCUCCUUCUGGUGUUCGAUGGUUUGUCACAUUCAUCGAUGAUUGUACACGGAUGACAUGGCUUUAUUUGCUGAAGAAUAAAAACGAAGUGUUUUCCCAUUUUCAGUCCUUCCACAAACAGAUGAAAACUCAGUUUAAUGCUCAAAUCCAGAUUCUUCACUCAGACAAUGGUGGAGAAUUUGUCAAUCAUGACUUUCAGACUUACUUCCAACAACAUGGAAUUAUCCAUGAGACGACUUGUCCUCAGACACCGCAACAAAAUGGUGUUGCUGAAUGAAAAAAUCGACAUCUUCUUGAAACCGCCCGAGCACUUCUGAUUAGCGCUCAUGUUCCUCGCCAUCACUGGGAUGAUGCUAUUGUCACCGCAGUUCACCUGAUCAACCGCAUGCCUUCUGGUGUAUUGACCUUUAAACUCCCUUACAGGUGCUUACGCAACACAGACCUCUGCCCUCUGUUUUGGUACUCACACCCCGAAUCUUUGGAUGUGUGGCUUUCGUUCAUCUCCACAAAAAUCAAUGUAGCAAACUUGAUCCCUGUGCGCUUCGUUGUGUUUUUGUGGGUUAUGCCACUCAUCAGAAAGGCUACCGCUGUUAUCACCCUCCUACCCAAUGAACCUAUGUCACUUUGGAUGUGACCUUUUUGGAAUCUGAGCUGUUCUUCCAUGACCCAUCAUCCAAUUCUACGCUUCAGGGGGAGAUACAAAGUGAAGAGCAAAAUUGGAGCAACUUAGAAAAUAAAGAAAUUCUCCUCUAUACAGAAAUGAUUGAUCAUCCUAAGUCUAGAGCACGAGAUUACUCUCUGUCGAAAAGCAACCAAUCGCCCAUUCAUAGCGAUCAAUUGCCUGACCCACCUGAUCCAUGCGAAGAUAUUUCUGAUCCGAGUCUCACACCUAUAGACAAUACAGAACAACAAGAUGAAGACCCCUUUCUAACUCAACAGUACCAACAGACCAAUCUCCUGAGAAUAUCCUUGAGGUAACUACUCCUACUAGACUUGUGCAUUUAUAUGAUAAAACUAUUGGAUAUCAAUUACCUUUCAGGCAAAAUCGUGGGAAGCCACCAAAUCGUUAUUCACUUGAUAUUGGCAAGACAUCCAAGUAUCCAAUUACAAAUCAUGUAUCCACUGAGAAGCUGUCUGAACCACUCAAGGCUUUUGUGCAUCAGUUGUCUGCUAUCCAUAUUCCAACCAAGGUCUCUGAAGCAUUGAAAGAUCCUAAGUGGGUCCAAGCUAUAAAAGAGGAGAUGAAAGCUCUUGAGAAAAAUCAGACUUGGACAUUCGAGACUAUACCUCGAGGAAAAAAGACUAUCGGAUGUAGAUGGGUGUUUACUAUAAAACACAAUGUAGAUGGAUCUAUCGAGCGAUACAAGGCAAGACUUGUGGAAAAAGGGUACACACAGACCUAUGGUAUAGACUAUGAAGAAACCUUUGCUCCAGUUGCAAAGUUAAACACCGUCAGAGUCUUAUUGUCCCUUGCAGCUAAUUUGGAUUGGCCACUACACCAGUUUGAUGUAAAGAAUGCUUUUCUACAUGGCGAACUCACAGAGGAGGUGUACAUGGACAUUCCUCCUGGAUAUAAUACUACUCAGACUGUAAUAGUUUGCAGGUUAUAAAAAGCAUUGUAUGGAUUGAAACAGUCACCACGUGCAUGGUUUGGACGGUUCACCAUGGCAUUGAAGAACAAUGGUUUCAAACAGUGCAACUCAGAUCAUACUCUGUUCUUGAAACAUCGAAAAGGGAAGGUAACAACAUUAAUAAUCUAUGUUGAUGAUAUGAUUAUUACUGGGAAUGAUAAACAGGAAAUAUCACAGCUACAAGACUAUCUGGCUACGGAGUUUAAGAUGAAGGAUCUAGGUGGACUCGAGUAUUUCUUGGGAAUUGAGGUGGCUCGAUCGCAGCAAGACAUAUUUCUCUCUCAAAGGAAAUAUGUCUUAGACUUGUUGACAGACACAGGAAUGCUAGAUUGUAAACCUGCGGACACUCCAAUUGUUCAGAAUCAUCAUCUUGGAGAAUAUCCGGAUCAAGUUCCAACUAACAAAGAAAGAUACCAAAGGUUAGUGGGAAGAUUGAUCUAUUUGUCACAUACUCGACCAGACAUUGCUUAUGUGGUGAGCGUUGUCAGUCAAUUUAUGCACUCUCCAAGUGAAGACCACAUGAAUGCAGUUCUUCGGAUACUUAGAUAUUUGAAGUCUGCACCUGGAAAAGGACUUAUGUUCUCAAAGCAUGGUCAUCUAAAUAUUGAUGGUUAUUCAGAUGCAGAUUGGGCAGCUAAUGUAACAGAUAGAAAAUCCACAUCGGGUUACUUCACAUUAGUGGGAGGUAAUUUGGUGACAUGGAGGAGCAAGAAACAGAAUGUAGUAGCUUUAUCCAGUGUAGAAGUCGAGUUCAGAGGCAUGACUAAAGGGAUUUGUGAACUUGUUUGGUUAAGAAAGUUGCUUACUGAACUUGGGUAUAAACCUACAUCCACAAUGAAUCUCUUUUGUGACAACAAGGCUGCUAUAGCCAUUGCACAGAAUCCGGUUUAGCAUGAUCGUACUAAACAUGUUGAGGUGGAUCGACACUUCAUCAAAGAGAAGCUUGAGGCUAAAGUGUUUCAGUUUCCUUUUGUGAAAUCCAAUGAUCAAUUGGCGGAUAUUUUGACAAAGGCAAUUUUCAGUAAAGCAUUCCACAAUUCACUGGAUCAGUUGGGCAUUGGCGACAUCUAUGCACCAACGUGAGGGGGAGUGUUGGCGUGACUUGUGGAUAUUGACUUACUUUCCUUACACACCAAGAAUUCCUAUUAUAAUUGUAAUUGAUUUACUUUAAUUCCUGAUUUCCUACUGUAAAUAGAUUUAGGAAUUUAUUAUUUACUUGCCCAUUCAGGUUUCGUUGUAUUAUAAAUAUGACCUCCUACAAGGAGAAGAAUACACAGAAAAUUCCCACAAACAAAUAUUCUCUCAUAGUUUUCAUAUUUUAGCACCUACUAUGACCCCAACUCCUACACAAUCACCUACUUUGAAUUUCUCCAAAUUCUUCCCAGCUUUGGUCACAACACCAACAAUUUCAUGCCUGGAAAAUCAAUUGAAAAUGUUCAACACACACAUGAAUGAUUUCACAGGAAUAAUAAAACGAUCAUUUCUGCUACGUUCUGCCAAAAGCAGAGAGAUAUAACAACCAAUUCCCAUACAUGAAUGCAAUUUUUUAUAAGAUAUUUGGUCAUAUGCAGAGGUAAACAGAAUAAAAAACAUUUUGAAAUGCAAAUAUUUAAAAUUAAAAAAACAAACAAAUAUGCAUGUUAAGAUUCCAAAUUUUUACAAUGACAUCAUGCCUUAUGCCUAUAAAAAGAUCCUUAUCGAAAUCAUUUGCGUUUGAUUUAUAACAAUCAAAUGAAUUCGAGCAUUAGUUCAUGUUUCUAGAGCCCCUUGCAUUCUACUAGGAUAGGCGGAGACAAGCACCAAACAAACAUAAACACCACCAAAAGAAAGCAUAAGCAAUUUGUUAAUAUCUGUUUGGAAAUCAGGGAUUGAUCAGGCAAUUUAACACUUCGUGUUUCUCCUGAAUAGAAUAUCCCCAUCAUAACGUCUUAGGCACAAUGCCCACGAAAAGCUAUAAGCCUGGAAAUAAGUUAAAAGUUGCACAUUGAUGCAUCCUCCUCCUAAUAGAAAAAUUCAGUCUUUGUUGUUAUAAAACAAAACAAUGAAGUGUUUGUGGUCAGAUAGGCAUACCCAAAACUAAGGGAAAGAUUGGCAACUCCAGGGGCUUGUCAGGCAAACCCACCGUGACCAGCUUCCCAUUCAGCUUCAGUAGACCAAUUAAUGGAGCCAACGCAUGAACUGCAGACACCGUGUCAAUGAUGUAAUCCAUGGUACCCAUUGCUGCCUGCAUAGUAAAAGCAGGAAACAGCAAAAUAUUAGGGUAAAUCACUAAAUAUUCUAGACCUUCUGAGAAGAGGAACCAAAAAAUAAACAUUAUGGAAUCAAUCUGCAGAACAACGUAUAAUGUGGAGUUGUUGAGGUAGGUCAUAUCAAAGAUCUGAGAUUUGUUCGCAGCAUUGCACCUAGAUGUUUCAUUUCUUGUAUUAUUUACCACUAGCCUCUUUGCACUGGUGCAUGAAGGGUGACUAACUAAACUGUUAUUGACUUCGAGGAUGACUAACUAAAUUGAUAAGUAUUGAGGGUAGUGGGAAAGAAAGCUAAGAACGGUUAUAUUUUACUAUAAAUUUGUAAACUAUUUCAAUGGAAUAUUUUACUCUUGUUAUAUAAAUUGGUUUGUUGUAGCCAUUUCUUAAGUGGAGCAUGUUAAGGGAUUUUGUAAGUUUCAUGGUUCCUCCUUGUAGAUAUAGAUUACCUUCAAUUUUGCAGGGUCACUUGAGAGGAGAAAAGAAUCAGCUCCAAGUCUCUUAACAGCCUCAUCCUCCUUUCCUGGGGAGGAACUGAUGACAGUCACUUUCAAACCAAAAGCCUUACCAAUCUUCACAGCCACAUGACCAAGCCCACCAAGUCCUGCCACACCCAAAUGCUUUCCAGGCUCAGUCAUGCCAUAAUAUUUCAUUGGACUGUACACAGUGAUCCCAGCACAUAAAAGUGGUGCACCCGCAUCAAGGGCUAAGUUAUCUGGAAAGCGGAGCACAUAGCGAUGGUGAACAACAAUCAUAUCGGAAUAACCACCAUAAGUUUUUGUUCAGUCGUGAUCGAGUGAGUUAUAGGUAAAUAUUGUUCGAGGGCAGUAGUUCUCUAAGUCCUGGUCGCAGGUCUCACAUUUCAUGCAGGAACCUACUAUGACCCCAACUCCUACACGAUCACCUACUUUGAAUUUCUCCACAUUCUUCCCAGCUUUGGUCACAACACCAACAAUUUCAUGCCUGGAAAAUCAAUUGAAAAUGUUCAACACACACAGGAAUGAUUUCAUUCACAGGAAUAAUUUCUACUAUGUGCUGCAAAAAGCAGAGGCAUACAACAACCAAUUCCCACACCUGAAUGCAAUUUUUUAUAAGAUAUUUGGUCACAUGCAGAGGUAAACAGAAUAAAAAACAUUUUGAAAUGCAAAUAUUUAUUAAAAAAAACACAGAAAUAUGCAUGUUAAAAUUCCAUCUACCAAACAACUAAUCCACCAAAUAUUUACAAUGACAUCAUGCCUUAUGCCUAUAGCAAGAACAUUAUCGAAAUCAUUUGCGUUUGAUUUAUAACAAUCAAAUGAAUUUACUAUAACUUAUAAUAGUAAAAUGUUUUCAAUAGUAAGAUUCAUGACAGUCUAGACUCUUAUUAAGACAAAAACCACAUUGAUCCUUGUGAAGUAGGCUUCCGUAAAUAACAUUUUCAUUCAAACUUAACAGAGACACAUCAUAUUAUCUUUCAUACAGAGUGACACGAGAUUAGCAUGUUACCCAGGUACAAUAGGGUAGUUGGUGAACCCCCAUUCAUUCUUGACAGAAUGCAAGUCUGAAUGGCAAACCCCACAGUAAAGGACCUUUAUUGUUACAUCAUCAUCAGCAUUUUCCCUGCAAAUAACACAAACAACAGCUCAAGUAAAUAAACAAAUGUAGUACAAAAACUGAGUGAUCGAUUAAUUUUAUGACUUUCAUUUCUUUUUUUUAUUUUAUCAGUCUUUAUAUUUGCAAGUUUUAGUAAAAGAAAAUUAAUCACCUGGGGAGUGAUCCCCUUCUUAUCCCCCUGAAUUUCAAAAGCAUUAAAACACUUGAUAACAACAGAAUGGGUUAUUUUGUAACUCUCUUUUUAUCGUUUUGUCAAAGUAAUCUUACACAAGUUAUGGGUAUAGCUGCUAAGUUAAGCAAAAUCCAUAACCAAAACCCACCAGAAAUUCUUAAAUCAAUUACAUGCUGUAUUUUCUAGCAUGGUGCAAGUGGCGCCACCACACAGGGUUUUUGAAUUUUUUUUACUUUAUAUUAUACUAGCCUCUCCCGCUUCCGCGCCUGCGGGAGGCUUUUUUUUAUAGAAAAUUUUAAAUUUAUUUUAGAAUUAAAAAAGAUAAUGGGUAGUUGUGUUCCAUAAAAAUAGGAUCCAUUAUUUGAUUUUUCUUUUAAUUUUAAUUUUUUUAAUAUGAAAAAGUGUGAAUUUAUCAUAUUAUCUUCGUUUAAUUAAUAAUUUCAAUUCUUAAUGUUUGCAUUGACCAAGGGUAUUUUCUGGUAUUUUGAAUGUUUUAUCAUUCUCAGCAUUUUGCUUUAUAUAUAUAGAUAUAUUCAUAUUAUAAAAACUGCAUAUAUACUCCAACGUGCAGCACAUUGACACAUAAAUGUAUUUGGUAGAACUGAUUUCUAAUAUAUAAUUUCUUCUAAAUAAAUAAAAAGUACUUUAUUCCACUAAAAACAAAACCAAAAAAGGUGCAGCACCGACCCUACGUUGGAGCAAAGCUUCCAUCACAUUGUGUAGGGUCUAAUCAACUGUUAGAAGCCAAAAAUACAAGGGAAAUAUGCUGAUAUAAUCAGUUUUCACAAGUGGUGUUCUGAAAUGAUUAGGUUACAAAUUGUGUUCUGAUAUAAUCACUUGUGAACGUGAAAUGACCAAACUGCCCUCCAUAUAAAAGCACAUGUAGCAACCCUUUGCCACCCCUUUUCUGAAAGGGAACUUGUCUGAACUCCUAAAACUCUCUCUCCUCUGUGUUGGAAGGUUGGCAAAAAUUGGGGGAACUCAAGGUUGCGAGACAUGUUCCCACUGAGCAAUCCAGUUCGCAACCCAUCCAUCGUCAUAACCCAAAUGUCCUCAAAUUUGGGACCCUAGCUUGGGCGCAGCGAAGCCGGAAGGCACGGCCUCCAUUGUUGACCUCCAGAUCGAGGUGACUGCUGCGAGUCCACAGAGAAGGGAAAGUGGCGACUUCCGGUGUCGUUGUGAACGGAUGUGAGUUGUGAUAUUGGUUUGGUAGUGUAUGUGUAUUAUGAAAUCGUUCAGCCCCUUUUCACCACAGAGAGAUAAAAGCUUAAAUUUUCAGUUUGAAGGAGUUAUGAUAUGUUGAAAUUCAUAGUUUGUGAUAUUAUCUGCAGUGGGAUCUGUCUGGUGAACUUGAAUUUUGUUUAAAAUUGACUGAAUGCGUGUAUAAUGUAGUGCAAUGUGUUUGAUAAUGGUGAAAAUAACAGCACACAGAAAAAUCAUAUGUUAACUUUGUCUAGCCUAAAAAUUUGUAAAUACGGCUAGUGUUAGGCUCAAUUUAGAUGCUAAUGUGGGGAAUUUAUUGGCAUUCUGGGUUUGUUUUGGUAAUAAGAAGUAUAGUUUGUGUGUUUUGGUUUCGAAUUUGGUAAUUGAGCUUGUACUACAUUAUACGUUUUCUAUCACAACCUGAUCCUUUUGUUGAAGGUGUUUACAUUUGUCAAAAGCCUUGGAGGGUUAGAGGGUUCAUAUUUCUGCCAUUGUAUGUGUAUGUUAGUUUGUUAAUAACUUGGAACCCACAGAUAUGUACAAAAUCAGAGAAAAAACAAAAAGGAAUAAAAGUUACUUGUUGAAGCAGCUACAAUUUGAGUUUGAAGAUUUGAGGAUUUAGAAGAUGAUAUGUGUAGUGGAAUGACUGUUGUGCAUGUUUUUAUUCAUCUAUUUUUUAUUUUUUAGUGUUAUGAAUCGGUGUAGUAAUUAUUUAUGUUAUUUGCAGAAAUGGAUACAGUUGGAAUUUUGGUAUGCUACAAUGGAAGUUGGGUUAAGAAGGAUAACAUUGAGAGUUAUGAAGGUGGGGAGGCUAAAGGCAUAAUAGUGUCACGGAACGUAACGUUUUCCGAACUUGUUGAACGCAUUUAUAAGAUCAUGGAUGCAGAGCCCACGAAAUAUAGUGUCACAUUGAAGUAUUCAGUUCCUGUAUCCGCAUCUGUCAGUAAGCACAUAAGGGUUGAAGACAAUGAUGAUGUUCAGUAUUUUCUCAAGUACAACACAGAUGUUAUGGCCUCUAAAGUAACCCCUUUAGUAGCAAGCUUGAAAAAUAUCGAAGGUCAUGGUAUUGAAGGGUGCAAUGGCAUUGUAAGCGUUGAGAGUAGCAAUGCUCCUGCUACCUUUGUUGUGGAACGAAGAAAUGUGGUAAUUUCGCACAAUGAAACUGAAAAUGGUGGGAAUGGUUUUAAUUGGAGUGAUUGGGUUGAAGAAGUUCAUUUUGAAAGCGGUGAAAACAUAGUUGCUGAUUUAUAUCAACCUAGCAAUGAAGAGGAACCGUACUCUGCACCAAUUGUGCAUCCUCCUGAGGACAGCAAUGCGGAACCCUCCACUGUGCAGUGUAGACAGGUGCAAUCUGAACCUCCCCGGCAAUCAAGUUCGAGUGAAAUGCAUACAAUUCGGGUUGAUUCGAAGCAUGGUGAGAGUGUGGAAUAUAUUGGUUAUGGUGGAGGCCUUUCGUGCAUAAAUUGGGAAGCAAAUUUGAAGGUUGGCCGAGUUUAUCCAAAUAAGAUUGCCCUUUUAAAAACCAUCAGUUUAGCAGCAAUUAGAGGCCACUUUCGGUUCAGAACAGUCCAAUCUGGGAAGCGUCGGUUUUGUGUUCGCUGUUGGCAGGUGCCUUGCCCUUGGAAACUUUGGGCAUAUAAAGUUGGAUUACAUGAGUUUAAGGUUGUUAAAUACGAUCCACUUCAUGAAUGUGAUCUGAGGUUUGUAAGUAGUCACCAUCCUCAAGCUACGGCCGAAUUGGUGUCUGACUGUGUUAAAUGAAGAUUUCAGGAUUCGCGCAGCAUUUAUACUGCAGCUGAUAUAAAGACAGAUGUGAAAAAAAAAUUUGGUGUCAGCAUAAGCUACUCUACAGCUUGGAGAAGCCGAGAGUUAGCUUUCAAAACAAUGAGAGGGUCUGCAGAAGAGUCGUAUUCCCUUCUCCCUUCCUAUUGUUGUGAAUUGGAGUGUACAAAUCCGGGAACUUUGACAUACAUUCAGACUGAUGCAGCCGACCACUUCUUAUAUUUUUUUAUGUCAAUUGGUGCAUGCAUACGAGGAUUUAAGUCGUCAAUGCGGCCCGUGAUUGCUGUUGAUGCUACCCAUUUGAAGUGCAAGUAUAAAGGUGUUUUGUUUGUUGCGACCGCAUUUGACGGAAAUCGCAACAUAUAUCCUGUUGCCUUUGCGAUUGGAGAUUUGGAGACGGAUGCAGCAUGGGAGUGGUUUUUGAGAAAAUUACAUUGUGCAAUUGGUGAUUGCUCGAAUCUUGUUGUCAUAUCUGAUCGCAAUGUUAGCAUACAACAUGGGUUGCGUAGAGUUUUUCCUGGGGCAAGCCAUGGUAUUUGCUUUUAUCACUUGAAGGGCAAUAUGAAAGCCUCAUUUCACUUGAAGCGACGGGAUCCGAUAUUGGGGUAUUUUGUAAGGGCAGCGAAGUCUUAUCGUCUAGCGGAGUUCAAUCGUCACUUUUCGAUGAUAAACAAUGAGCGAGUGAGAACUUAUCUACUACAUGCAGGCGUUCAGAAGUGGUCUCGGGCCCACUGUGAUGGACGACGCUAUAGUGUGAUGACAACGAAUAUUGUGGAGUCCAUUAAUUCAGUUCUUCGUUUUGCAAGGAUGCUUCCGGUCCUACACUUGAUCGAUGAAAUCACAAAUUUACUUCUCACUUGGUUUAGUCAACGUCGAGAUUUAGCAAUGAAAUGUCAUUCUACAUUGUGCCCUAAUUUGGGUGAACAGAAGUUAAGGAAGAGGUUAGACGCUGCGUCAAGGAUGAAUGUGGUCAAAAUCAAUGAUGUCGAGUAUAAUGUUCUGGAUGGUGAUUUGAACGGUCUGGUGCACUUGGCAAACCGUAGUUGUACGUGCAGGAAGUUUGACUUGGAGCAACUCCCGUGCAAGCAUGCUAUUGCGGUAUGUCGGCACUUGAAUUUGAACCCCUACUCCUUUGCCUCUUCUUAUUAUACACGAGCUACAUGGGCAGCUGCAUAUGCUGAAUCUAUUUAUCCUGUACCACAUAAAGGCACAUGGGUUAUUCCCGAACAUUUGAACAAUGUCAAAAUCCUUCCUCCUGUUUGUAAGGUUAUGCCGGGCCAUCGCAAAAUGCAAAGAGUACCUUCCAAAGGAGAGGACUCCCGGCAAAAAAAAUGCUCAAGGUGUGGUGUGAAGGGCCACUACCGAAAUACAUGCAAACAAUCUGUCCCUCUCAAGAACUGAAGUGUCUAUUUGCGCAUAUUGUACAGUUGUUCAGUUUGUACCUCAGUUGUCAUCAACUGUGAAGUUCAUGAAUAGGUUCGGUGAUGCUGCAGGGAUGGAAGUCCGUCAAUUAAACGGUCAUGUGAAGCAUAUGGAACAAGGUAACAAGUUCCUUGCAAUGAGAGCCUAUUAUUAGUACAAAUUUGUGAACUUACACUUCCACCUGUGAAAAGGAAACCAGCUGUUAUUUAACAGUGUUCCACUGGCCAAUGUGUCUUACACAUUAGCAUUUCUAUUCGUUUGUGAUGUACCUUUUAUUUAUUUUAAUUUAAAUUGUAUUCGAUUUGGUGUUGUGAACUGUGAUUGUAGUCACGUUGGCAUCACUUGGUUUCCUUUCCUACACAACGUUUUGUCCUGUCUUUAUAUUCACCGUAUUGGUAUUGUAUUGUGACUUUGUUGCGCCGUAUUGGUAUUGUAUUGUACCUUCGUUGCCCUCGUAUUGGUAUUGUAUUGUACCUUUGUUGCACUGCUAUUGGUAGUGUAAUUAAAAAGGUUUGUGUCCAAAAUGAAAUGGCCUAGAAGGCUAACUAAAAUGUAAUCUCGUACGUAAAACUCCUUCAAAUGCAAAUGUUACGCAAUUACUGGGAGCGUCAUUGUACUUCAUGAUUUCUCAUUGUUCUGAUUGCCAUAGACCAAACUAUAUAUAGUUUUUGGGAAACUAUCCAUGCUCAUUGUUCUGAUUGCCAUAGUUAUUGCUUAUUUAAUUCCAAUGUUCAUUAUAGUACUGAAAUGACUAACUACUGAACUUAAAUCAGUACUGAAUAUUACCACCUAUCCCUUCAAAUUGUUACUUCAUUAAUUAAAUGUCUAUAAUCCUUUUUUUUGGGGCAUUUAUUAUUAUUGCUUUCAUAACUUUAUUUGUCUUGUUAGUAAAAAAUUUCAUGUUUUUAUAGUGUCCGUGGUUUGUAUCCAAUUGCCUUAAGGUAUCGAUAUAUGUCCCAUAUUUCCAUGGAUAUUCCGCGCGUCAUAACCAUCGAUCUGUCCGAAACCCUCCAUAUAUACGACCGUUGCUAGAGUCACUGUUUAUCAUUACUCAGAUGUAGAGGCUAUUAUAUGAGGUGUAUAUCCAUAAAGCAGCAAUAAAACCAUACUAUAAGCACAAUACGAUUGCAAUAUGAGUCAAUAAUUAUACAAUACAAACACAAUAUACAUGCUUAAUGCUUCUAAUAUGAGGCCAAUAAACGUUUAAUAAGCACACCUCCACGUUACAGCACUUCAAAUUUAUACAAACUAAGUAAUUUCCCACUCAACGGUGAGAAUAAGAGGAAGGCGUAAACAAGGCACCACAUUCAUACAAAAGCCACCAAAUACAUACAAAAUGAUUCCACCCGUACUUACCCUGACCCAGCUACAGAAACCCUUCCACAAAAUCACCAUGUUUACAGGUCCAUGAAUAGAUCCAAUUCUUUGGUCUUCUUCCUCGCUGCAUGCACAAGGCUAUGAUCAGCCAUUCCCUGGCCACCCUUAUUCAGCACCUGCCAGACACCACCAACAUCUAUUUCGCUCCAAUUGUAGUCAGGUGACACGACGGAAGCAUAAUCCCGGAACAUCUCGAACCCAUUGUUAAAACAUUCAACCAGUUCAUGGUUAAAUUCUUCAGAUUCAGUGAAUUUUUGGACAGCAUCUUUCUUUGUUUCUUCCAAUUGUAACGUCAACGAGGCUAACUUCGCGCUUCGACUUUGGGCUUUCAUUGUUUGCUUAACUUCUCUAGCAAAUGCUUUGUUCAGCUUGUUCGUCAAGUUGCCCAUCACCUGGCCAUGAAUAUCGCAUUUGGUUUCCCACCAAUCCGUUGCCGUACACAAAUAUUGGAGGUGACGCUUCACUUCAGCUAUUUUCUUUAGCGGAUCAAUGUUGUCAGCCUCACUUCCGGAUGACGUGGGAUCGUUAUUUGGAGUCCCAGGUGGAGAUGGGAAAGGGACAUGCCAUGGCUGGUCUCCUGGGUAACUAACAACCUCGUUUGGAGGGAUUACGUCUGACAUCUUCAACUUCAAAUGGGGAUAAUGCACACAUGCACCCUGAAAAACAGUUAACGUUAGGUUGAAUCUGGAGCAUCGUUUUCGUUACCAACAAUAGGGUGAGCUUUACUACAGCUAUCGUGUCUAAUAUAUAUGGAAUUGAAUGAGUAGGUUAGACCCUCUUAUAUAGAGGAAGUUGUGUGUUUUAUAUUGCUUUCAAUGACUACAUUACAAAAUCAGUCUUCAGUCAUUACUCCUCUCUGUCACUGACAGCAUUGUAAUAUGCCCAUUACAUCGGACCAAAUACGAAUAUACACACCUGUCAACGUUGGAAUACUCGGCCGUACCAAUAUACACACCUGAACAACAGUGACUACACAAAUUACACACAAUCUUCAUCACAAUUCUAUACUAUAUUAAUAUUGAAGGUGCUGCCAUAUGAAUAAUAGCUUAGUAGCAAGUUCCCCAUUAACUCAUUUUACCAACUGUACAGACUUGUUCAUAAAUGACAAAGUAUCCCCUACAAAUGACGACAAUAGGCAAGUCCAUCUAAAAACAAAUUAAUACCACCAAAUCAGUCAUAUACAGUCCCGACCUAAAUGUUAAGGCGAAUAAAACGUCAGGUAGGAUGAAUACACCUACAAAUAUUUGCAAAUGGAAAAAAAUCAGAGUUAGGAAUUCACCGUUAUAUACAAAAAUGGAACUCAUAUGAAGGAAUUUAGAAGACAGCAAAAAGGAAAUUGGAAACACAAAUAGUUUCAUGGUCCAUUUUUGUAAUUGGCCCAUUCGUUGUCAAAUUACUGUACUCAUAUAUUUGGGACAAUUUGUAGUUUUGGUACAGGACGGAAAUUGGGGAAAGAGGACAAAAGGAAUCAAUUGCAAAUUCAACAAGGGUCCCAUACAACAACCACCAACCAAUGGUAAAUGAUAGUUAUAUAUACAGCUGUUAUCAUGCAAAGCCCAAGUCAAACGUGUUGCCCAACAACUCCCGCCAAUAACUCCCGCCUAAAAUUGGACCCAACAACUGCCGCCAAUAACUCCCGCCUCUUCAUCACAGUCAUUUACUCUUGGUCAUUAAUACCUCCCACUAUUUAAUUGUAACCCAGCUGCAUCCACCCAACAUUUCCAUCACACUUACUGCAACCAAACCCCCCUGCCUGCGCAGCUAUUUCACCUACAUCACAAUGAAUGGCAGUUUGGGCAAACUAAUGGCCACACCAACCCACAGUAAAUACCCAACACCCAUGGACCCCAACCCCACACCAAACCCAACCUUUGCCAUUACUGAAGGAGGGGACACGGAAACACCUGCCAAAGCAGCAACAGAAGACACUGAAGACUGGGUCCAUGGACUGCAGCAAUGUCGAGCCAAUACCAUGUUCUGGAAAAAUCUCCAUGCAGACAUAGUUAGCAAAAUUAAAGAGGGCCAAGCUAGGUGGGGUGUCAUAAAAAAACGCACAAUUCGGGCGCGUUAUCAAGCCCGGAUGCAUCUCCUACAUAUGAAGGCUGUCAGAGCUAGAAUUGAAAAUGCCCCUGCCGGUGCAGUUAUUGCAUUCAAAGAAUCAGACGAAAUGGCUCAGCUGAAGCAACAACAACUGGAAUCCGGCUUCGAACUAUUUAGGAAGUUUGCACAAAUUGUGGAUGCAGAAGGAAAGUGGGACAUCACUGUGGGAGGGGUCAUGAACUUAAUGGGUCGCGGUCGCCGCAUUUGACGGGUAUGCAACUCGAAAUUCGGCCACAGCCAGAGGGUUUGCCUUGUAAUAUUACCAUGGCUACUAUUGGGGACAAACCCAGUACAGUGGAAUUUUUGACGUGCCCUCUUUUUGUAAUAUAUACGUAUGAGGUGCCCUUUUUAUUUAUUUCGUUUGUUUUCUGUAAGUUUGAGGGGGCCUCGUUCGUACAUAUGUAUAAUGUAAGCUGCAGGUGCCGUCUUUGUUAAGAUUGUAUUAUGUAAGUUUGAGGUCACCUCUUUGUAAAUUUUGUCUUCAGUAAGUUUCACCUGGCUUGUUAUUUUAUUUUGUAUGCUGCCAGGUUGAGGUGGCCUUCGUAUUAUAUGUACGUUUCAGGUGCCUUUCUUUUGUGUUGUAUGCAUGAGGUUUGAUAACUGCAGUUGAUGUAGUUUGGCUGCAUUCAUUUCAUAUUCGAUAUAACGUAAUUACCUUCCGCAUAGUUCAUAUUUGUAGACUUGUUAAAUGACAGUGCAAAACCAAUACGUAAGACAGUAUAAAAACAUUUAUAAUAGCUGUACCAAUUGCAAAUCAUGCAGAGGUUACAUUGGAAUGCCAAUAUAACACCAAUAUCGGGCAUUAUAAAAUCAAUACAAAUCAAUAUCGAUACAAUAAAGGUGCAAUACGAUACCAAUAUAGUGCCACUGUCCUAUCAAUACGUCAAUCAUACACCAAUAUACAGACAACGAAGAAUGGCAUCUACUGUAUAUGCAAGUGUAUACCAUGCCGUAUCUGUCAUAAACCAAGGCUAUGAAUAACAUUAGGCCCAAUAUAUAAUUACUGUAGGCAAUGGUAAAACACCCCAUUAAGUCCAGGUUUCAUGUUUGUGCACUCACACCAUGUAACUGAAACAUUGUGCACAUGCAAGUGUAACCCUUUGAAUUUGGGAUGACCCUCUUCAACACCCUAAAUAUCGCGCAACAUGAACAACAAUUCAUACCUUCCAAAACAAGAAGAUGAGUAGGAGGAGCCUCCGUACCGUGAGGGUGAGUCAGUGACGUCUCGGUUGCCCGGUCAAGAGGCGACUUCAAGAUCUCGCUGGGAAAUGGAAGCCGCAAGUUCAGUGUGUUCACGGCUGUGCUACUGUGGGAACGUUGUCAAAACGCAUACAUCGUGGACGGUUGCUCAUCCUGGAAGGAGGUUUCAAGUAUGUGCAAGGGUAAGUUUAUUUCUGUGUAAGUUUGAGCUGACAUUUGGGAAUUGUCUGUAUUCCAAAUCUGAUGUUGGCUGUCUUUGUUUGAAAACAUUGAUUCCGUUUCUGCAGAGGAAUGGAUGUACAUUUUGGGAAUGGGCUGACCUAGAGAUGUGUGACAGAUCGAAGCACAUCAUUCCAGGCUUGCUUAGGAAAAUAAACCGCUUGGAAGAAGAACAAAAUGCUGGAAAAGGGAAGAUGAAAAACCCAUGGUUUUGGGUCUCUGUUUUCUUGGUUGGAAUGGUCAUUUAUUUGUUGUUUUCCAAAUGUAAUAGGACUCCUGGUCAUCUACAGUUGGCAGGUUAAAGUUGGUUAGGUUAUAGAUGUAAUGGAACAGGUUUGAUUUAUUAUAAAUCAGUGAUGGCAGACAUGGUCGUUUUCUAUUUCAUAUUGGGUUGAAAAGGCAAACACAAAAGGCAUAGCCAAUAACCCCAGGCUCAGGUAUUUUGGUAUCAACUCUUAUGCAGCCUCAAUCGUCAGACCAAUUAUUCCACGUAAAACAUGAGAAAGAACUAAAUAUUUGACGGUGAGGGACCUCCCAAAACUACAACUCAAUGACGUCAAAUUUGAGCUUCUAAUUGGCCCAGCCGAGCGUUAAUGAAAAUGUUUGUGCUAACGAACCCCGACAUUUCCGUGCGGAUCGGAUUUAAAAAAUGCAUAUACAAAACAAAGUAUUCAACCUAACUAAACUAAACUAAACAGUCGACAAUGCACUGUCGUCUCAUGUUUACAGGUCCAUGACAUAGCCACCCAAUAUAUACUUUCAACUGUCACGAAAAUGAACACCCUAAUAUAUUGCCAAAUGAGAGUCGAAUAUUUCGCUAUAGUGGCGAUAAAAUAAUGGAAAAAGGCUACAAUGUGGGUGGCCCCAAAAAAUUGCAUUUCGCUGCAACUUGUGCCAAAUGAUGGAUUUACAAUCUCUGUUAAGCACAGAAUGUCAACAAUUACUUGUAACAAAGGAAAGUGAAUACAACCCUUCUACCAUGGAAGACAAGUACAGUUGAAUUCCGUUACAUAAAUGAACACCCUGCAACAAACUACAAAAUCACCCCACUUUAUCGCGUGGUGAGCAAAAUGUCAAAAAUUGUGCCAUGUUACGCAAAAACUCAUAUUCAGUUUCAAUAUUCACAAUACGACAAAACAGCCUGCAACUUCUUUCACAUACGUGUACAGAAUCUGAGAUGUCAAUAUGGGUAUGAAGCUCGAAGGACCACCUGCAGAAGGAGGACAUAUGUGCCACUUCAGCAUUCAUAUAAAGGGAAAAUGAGAUGUCAUAAGACAUGUUCAAUUUGAAGAAGUAAUUGUUUGAACCUUUCAUAAAGAACAUGAAACAAGUUUUGGAUUAGACACAGUCGGAGUUUAGAACAUAUGACAUACGUAAAUCAGAUGCCAGUUGCGAAACAUUGACAUUACCAUCUAUAGUGUUCAAAUCCCCAAUACCCUAAACUUUGAUGCACAAAAGUAGCCAUUUUCAUUCAUCACAGUUGGACAAGUUCCGAACAUAAUGUAAGUUAUCUUAAAUGAACACUGACGUCACAGGUGAGUACGUACGACGUAACUACAAUGAAGUAAAUAACAACGCAAUUCCAAAGGCAAUAGUUAACAAUAAAGCAGCAAUGAGGUCAGUUUAGGGCUUUUACCUCAUACAUAGGCCUCCCCCCUGAAAGCCUCGAUUGCAAGCUUCAAUCGGUAGUAGCCAAACUUCGAUGGGUCAAUGGUAUGUAAAGGAAUGCCGGCACUAAGGUACUCAAUAUAUUUGACUGUCAUAAUGCCACAUGAAGUACUGUCCACCCGAGCAGUAGACAAGUUAGAAGUGCACGUAUUGAUAACAUCCGAUUAUAGUGCUUUAAAAGAACACAGCUUACCCAUCACUUUGUUGAGGAACAUCGGAAAUUCUGCAAAUUGUGAAUUGGUUAAAGUUUGACAUGUCAGUCCCCUUUCUCUUCACCGCUUCAACCUCCGAUUUCUCAUAAAACCUCAUUUCAUGCAGCACCUUUGCAAGCGUAUGGGUAAUAGGCUCCAUGAAUCGGACAAGCAUACUGUUGGAGGUAAAAUCAGAAUACGAGUCAUAGACAGUGACAGUAUGUCGCACAAAGUCGACUUCUACUGCCACCCAAUGGGACUGUCGAACAUUAUACGGGAGAUAGACCUUGCGCACUUUCGUCCAUGCUUGUGCAUACCCAUGUUGCCAUGACCCAUUGACAAAGUGGUGUACAUUUUUGAGGUAGUUAGGCGGAGGGUCAACGUUCCUUGAAGCAUAUUGUUUCCUCGUGACUUGUUUGCCACUUGGCAUUGCAAACGGCUGUAAAAAUUGCUGCAACCAAGUGUGAAAGACACGUUACAUAAACCCGAACCAAAGCACCAAAAGGAGAGAUCUACAUGACUCCUACCAAUGCAAGAACUGCAGUGACACAUAAUAUGGAUACAAUCAUACCUGCAGACAAAACUCGGCGGUUGUCCACUCCCUUCCAAAUAGUUGAGGAUGAGAGAGUUGUCUUUUGCGUAUUAGAAACAUGGCCAUGUCAAGGUGCUGCUAUUUCAGAACACAACAACGGUGUCAAGAUGACAACAAAUGACACAUAGUCAAUGUCAUCAAAUAAGAGAUUGAUCGAAAUAAAGCCGGGUUCAAAUUGUUACCCUCGAGCUCAUCCAUGCAGUUUCAUCUAUCAGUUUGUAAAAAAAAUCUGCCCCAACUUCAAAUGGUUCGAGCUCCAGCUCCGCACUACAAAAACAACACUUGCAAAGGUAAAUUGAAAUAUAAUAGACAAGUGGAACACCUUGUAUAAUAUGACAAUGACACACACAUGUAUAGUAUAGCUGCGUAUAAAUUGUUUGCAUACAUCAAAAAACAAGUAUAUUGGUUUUGCCAAGAUACAAAUCCUAACCUGAUGUCAGUUUUCCAAGCCCUGCAAACUUGUAUGAUAGCCUUCACAUCGUCCAUGGCCACGGGUUUUGUCGGAUCAAAACGGGGCUGAGGUGUCUGUGCAUGCAAAUCAGUAACCUUCCUCUUUUUCCUGGAGGGAUCGGUGAAUGGACUCAACAAUGGUGUCGCAGCCCGAUUAAGUCUGCACCCUUUGCCUUCAGCAUCUGGUUUCCGAACUGUGGCAGUAGCCUCGUUGUCCCCUUCAUCACCAACCAGACUUAUGUUACAUUUCAUGGGAGGCCUGACCUUGCAUCCCACCCCCUCAAUUUCUGUCUUCUUCCAAUCCUCUAACAAAUGUAACAUUGUUUUACAAAUAACUCUAUACCCAUUCCCAUCUUCCGGAGUAGGAAGGAGGGCAUCUUCAACACUAGGAAGCUUCACAUCUUCAGAGGUAGGAACCUUGUGAGGUUGUUGGUCCACCUGCCUCUCACGAACUGAAGUUUCAAUUUCAGUAUCUAUGACUUCCAUGGCUGGGAAGGGUUCCACUCCAUCAGCAGGGACUUCCGCUUCCCUUGCAGCCCCUUCUAUAUGCAUGGCUGGAAAGCCUUCCACUCCAUCACCACAGACUGUUGCUUCCAUUUCACCCCGUUCUGUAUGCAUGCCUGGGAAGGCUUCUACUCCAUCAGCUGGAACUUGAGUGUCCAUUUUAGGUGCUGCUGUAGUCGGACUAGUAGGUUCAUUGAAGGGUGACACUUCAUUCUGCCCUCCUUCAUUCAUCUGAGCAAUACAGACUUCCUCAUGCCCUUCUCCACCAUAAUUUUUUUUAACUCCUCCAUCUCCAACUUAAAAUAAUGUUCGACUGAAGCAAUUUUUAGGGUCAAAUCCCGAAUAGCGUUUUUAUUUCUGUCACACUCGUUCUCAUGCUUGAAACAGUUCUUCUGUACAAUAGCUUCCAAGUCACGAACUCUGUUCCUAAGCCCCCGAUUUGAACUACGUAGCUUUUCCAACUGAUCCUUAGUGCUUCGUAAUUGAUGCUUCAAACUGCGAACGUCAUUAACAGACCCUUUGCCCUGCAUACAGUUAUACUGCAACAGUUAGAAAGCUUACAAAAAACCAGGAAACUAUUUCCACUUCAUUCCUAUCGUAUUCGCAAUAUUUUCACAACAUUGGAAAGAGGUCAUGCUCACCUUAGAAGAGGAGGGAAGGGUAGCUGUUUCCUCGACAUCCGCGUCUUUUUCUUCACUAGAAGUGCCGUUUUUUUCUUCGGCCUCAUCCCCAAAUAAUUCAACAAUUUCUUCUUCGUUGUCAUCAUCACCCCAACUCCAGUAAGGUUGUUGCUUGUCAAUAUCUGUUGGCCGGAGAAGUUGCACAUCAACCUCCAAUUGAAACACAUAAAAAAAAAAAAAUCAGUGAACUUUGUACUUUUUUCUAAUCAUAACAUGACUAAUACAAACAGAUCUAACCUCAAAGUUUUCAAAAACCUGACUCAUAACCUCCCGAAAACGGGCCACCGUGUUGCUCCUCCAAUGUAAUAUUCGAGGGAUGUGACUAUUGUCUUCAUGGACCGUGAAAUGCAAUGCUUCCAAUGCUGGGAACACUUCAAAAGCCCAAAUCUAUUCACAACAAUGAAACAUCAAUAUCUGUAAAUGUAUUUACAUAAAAUAGUUAAUUGCUGGAUAUGUGUUCACCUGAAGAGCGAAGCCAAACCCCCUUAUGAUGUACUCUCUUGGUCUACCACUUCGCAUUCUUGUCUGCGCUCUCUUUCCACUUUGUUUGGGCAUUUUUCUUUUUUGGGGCACUUUCACUCGUUGGUAUUCAGCACAAACUGCCCUCAACAGUAAAGCAUUUGUCAUUGCAUAUGACACUGCGCCCCAUGGAUACUUGUCAAACUCCUCUAGGUCUUCAGCCAACUUCAAAUACCGCAUGUCAAUAAGCACAUGCUUUUCACUACCCAAUAGAACAAAAAUGGCAAAAUAGACCAUUCCAAGCUUUAACGCAUCCUCAUCAUCUGUGCACUCGAUGAAGACGGUGUGUAGGUCCGAAAGGGUGGCAGGUUUAUUACUGCUGAAGUAUUUUCGCUUCAACGACAAAUUUUCAUUUGUCGCCUUCGGAAUGAAAGGGAGCUUUCCGAACCUUAGCCCCGUGAUGAGGCAAAAUUGUUGGGCUGUGAAUUGUAUCAACUUGUUACCCACAAUGAAUUUUAUCCCGUUCACCUGUGUAACUGCCUUAGGAUCAGCCUUCCUCAUCAACAGGCCGUGGACAAUUUGUGAAUUCCACUUGAGUUCCUCUAUCAGUAAUAGAUGACCAAAACAACUUCCCUCGAACCUCUGUAACUGCUGCGUAUUGAACUUCGCCUUUAUUGUUGUAAUGGCGGUCCUUGUGUGUGAAAGGGCAAAUGGCUUUCCUUCGUACUUCUCAUCCUCAGGAAUCAUAAGCUUUGCUUUACAAGCCAUUCUCAAGUUCCCUGCACAACAACAUCAUACAUAUGGAUCAUUGGUUACCCAUAUUUCAUACGUACAUUACUCAAACUAAUACUUUCAACCCAUUUUGAUAUAUGUAUAUACAUAUGACAAAACCAUAAAUGUUUGUAAGCCUCUUUUCUACUCUCCAACUCUCUCCACACUCUCCUCUUAUCUACAUUCCCUUCUACUAAAUGUACAUCCCAUUCCAUCCAAAAACCAAAUACCACCCAAGUCUGAAAACAAUUUCAUGAACCACGGAUCCACUUCAUACAGGGUUUGGGCGAAAUGGCUACAAUAAUUACUCCAAAUGCAUCAAUGCCUACUACAAUCUACUCAUGACCAUAGUUAUAUACAUGUCUAGUCAUAUGCAAUACAGUACCACACAUGGAACAUCAGUAUUCACAGUUAUGGACUCUGUGUGCAAACUAGACACGUCAAAAUGUUACUGCAACUGCAACUGCUAAACCUAGAUGGAUGAACAUGCAAUUUCUAAACAAAUACUGAAGCCCCAUAAAAUACCAUUUUCAGACAUAUAUCACAAGCUGCAAGCAAGGAAUAACAACACAAUUUAGCAGGUUUUAUACCACAGGGAAGAGAAAAUUUCCACGCCAACUAACUUUAGUAUUUCAAAAUCACAUAAUUAACCAUUAACACUGGAAGGGUGCAAAAUAUGCUACUACGUGCUGAAACACCAAUGAUACCAACAAUUUUACUUUUGCAUUAUUACUCAACAGCUAAUUCAGGGCCUACUGAGGUAAUGGUGUGUUAUAAUGGAAUAGCCAUUGCCACCAGAAUAUUUUCCCACACUAAAUAUGACUCAUAAAAUGGAAGUCAAAACAAGCAUCACAAACGAACCAAUCCUAGAUGACAAAUAGCAAUUUGAGGCACUUCAUCGUCCAUAGAGCAAACUCAAUACACCAAUACAAGUUUGAUCCCAGCAUGAUCUAAUUCACAGUUAAAUUACAUUAUUAUUGCAAUCUCUCUAAUUACUAAACUUCACAAAUUCAGUCACAGGUUAGUGAAAUUUUCCUUCUCAAAUGAUAACCAUACAAAAACACAAACUAGUCAAUAACAAAUACAAAACCCACCUUAGAAUCACUCCUUCUCUGCACAGAACCCAAUUCGAACUCCCAGCAACACCUACAGCAAAUCGCGACUUUUGUCUGUCACAGGAUUGAGAAGGAGGAGGACGUUUGUGAACAAAGUCAUAACCGAAACCAAAAUUUAGGGUUUUUUUAGGCCUUGAAGGAGCAGAGGAGAAGAGACCGACGUCGAUUCAAGACUCGAAACUAGAGGGAACUGAGACACCGUCAAGAACCCCCUCACCAAACCCUAACAUUGCCUGCAGAGAGAGAACGACAGAGUGCUGCUUAGGUUUUCGUGACAGCGGGAGAAAUAGAGUGGUGGUGGUCGAUGGACACAGAAACCGCUGAGAGAGGAAGAGAACCGUGACAGAGAGCUGAGAAAGGGAGAGAAGCCAGAAGCGUUAGGUCGGCAAUCAAAGGCCAAUAACUCCCCAAUACAUGUGCUUUUAUAUGGAGGGCAGUUUGGUCAUUUCACGUUCACAAGUGAUUAUAUCAGAACACAAUUUGUAACCUGGUCAUUUCAGAACACCACUUGUGAAAACUGAUUAUAUCAGCAUAUUUCCCAAAAUAGAAAGAGGGAAACAAGUAAACAAAAAAAACAAAAAAAAAAGUUUAUAUGCUAUUCAGGACCAAUCAAGUUUGUAGGAUCAGCCUAGAUCAUUUUCAAAGAAAAGAAAAAGCAAUAUAAAGAAUAUUACAAGAAAAUAGGAAAGGUAAAGUAUAAACGAUAUACCCUCUAGAGAAACGAAAUGGGGAAAGUAUUCCAGAAGUGUCUCUGUUCUUCCGGUGAUUUUGCCUCUCUCUCUCUCUCUCAACAGAGGGUUACUGCACCAUCAAGUGUAGGGAGAGGGACAGGGCACUCAAUGCAUACAACCAAAUAUUAGAAGAAAACUGAACCGUCUACAAUAAAUGCUCAUAUUUUUUGACUUUCCGGUUUCUAUUUUUUAUCAUUUAAAUGGUUUAGACAAAUUUGCAUAUUACAAACAUUUUUAUCAUUGAUCUUUUUCUACUAUUAUAUGGAGAAAUAUUUCUCUAUAAAAAUAUUAUACAGGGAAAUAUACCAAAGUGUAACCCAUCACAUUAUCGAAUUCGGGGUCGUUUUGAUGCGGCGGAUUGUCAUAUAUUGGAUUAAAUAUUGAGACUGUCUUGAAUUGACUUGGCAUGUUAUGAGUUGGAUAACACUUGUAUUGCGUUUGGUGUAUGUUUGAUUGGACUACGACUAAAUUUUAAAAAAAUUUUUUUUUUUGAAAAGUAAGUAUUUUUAAUUUUCUUCUUUCUCUUUCCCCUUCUUCCUGGUAUUUCUCUCUGCUUCUCUUUCUUCCUCUAUGCAUCUCUUUCGUCUUCUUCUUCUCCAUCCUCUCUCCUCUUCUUUCGUCUUUAUUUUUUCUAGAAAAUUUUCUCUUAAUUUUUUUAGAAAAUUUUCUCUUAAUUUUUUUAGAAAAUUUUCUCUUCUCUUUCUCUUUUAUUCCUCUUCUAUUCUAUCUUCUCUUUUUUUUCAAUUUUUUUUCGAAAAUUUUCUAUUCUUCCACUUCUAUUUUGUCUUCUCCUUCUCUUUUUUUUUUUUUUUUUUUGAAAAUUUUAUCUUCUCUCUUCUCUCUUCUCUUUUCUCUUUCUCUCUUAUCUUCCUCUUCUAUUUUGUCUUCUCCUUCUUGGGUGGUUGUGGUUGGUGAUUGCGUUUGAUGGUUGUGGCUGCCACUUGAGUGGUCGCUAGUUGUAGGGAGCAUGGGUGGGGUUGGUUGCUCGUCACUUGGGUCGGGACUGUUAGUCCCUCCUCUCCAGACAGGUUUCACGAAGAACACCUAAGGAGGUGUUUUUGUUACGGAUUGUAUUAGUUAAUCCCAAUUAAAAUUAAAACCAGAUAAAACAAACGUGAAAUAAAAUCUUAACCAAGACAGUCCAUGCCUGUAUGGUGUAACAAACACUCCCUUAAAGCACUCAAUCCUAAUUUUCUCUUUCCACAAAAUACAACUAUUCAUAUUCAUGUGUACAAUGUUUUUAAAUAUGUUCCACUAACCCUAAAAACUCCACUACUACAAUAAUGGGCAAAGUUGUUGGCUCUCUCUCCUCUCUCUCUCUCUCUCCCUCUUCGGCUGGGUCGCAGUUUCAAUUUUGACCAUACCGCUUAUCUUCUAAUUUUCGAAAUGGAGGUUUUCAUUUGUGGGAUUUGUCGCCUAGUUGGCUUUUCAAUACAAUAGCCAAUGAUUUAAGCAUUUUGAUCCACAUCUCAUAAAAAAAUCGAUGGCUUAACAAAAAAGAGUUAAAAUCAAAUAAAUAGAUAAACAUCAUGUUUUUAGUAAACAUUAAAAUUGUUGUUAUGAUAAUUGACUGAGUCUUAUUUUUUCAUUUGAUUAAUUUUUUUAAUAGUGAUUUUAAAAGAAAAAAGAAGAAGAAGAAGAAUGAUUUAGAUAAUUAGAUCAAGCUAUGAAGUAAUCGAUUUUUUACUUUCCUUUUAAUAUGUUGAGAGUUUUGUCCUAUAUUGAAACAUUAAGGGACCUAACAUGGGCUUUAUUUCUCUCUUUUUGACUGGGUAGGCCAAUUGAAGGAGUUUUUUGGUCCUUCUUCUUUUAGAUUGCGUAGGCAUGCCACCACAAAGUCACUGACUGGCUUGAAUGGAAAAGGUUGGAUUGUUGUGUUCGUGCUUCUGACUUCUAACCAGCCGAUUGAUCGGCCAAGCAAGGAACCUCCUCUUGGCCUAGGUUCUUUCACUUCCUCGGGGUCGAGGAUGGUUAAGUUUCGUACAGGUAUUUUAGUAUUUUUGAGAUUAUUAAUGAUAACGAUGCAAAUUAAAUUAAAAUAUGCGAUUAAACUUAAAGACGAGAAUUGAAGUGCGAUAAAGUAAUCAAAGCGAUAAAUAAACUUAAAUUAAGCGAAGAACGAAAUAAGAACGAUAUAAAUGAUAAAGGCAAUAAAAUAAAGCAAUUUGAAAUUAAAUUAAGCUUAAAACAAAUUCGAUAACAGUUAACAAUAAAGCGAUAAAAUUGAAUCUUAAGACAACGUAAUGAAAAAUACAAGAAAUUAAACUUACACUAACAAAAGUGAAGAACUGAUCUAGUCUACUUGCUUGGGAAAUAAAAGACCUAGUCCAGGGAUAGAAAAUUGAAAGACAAAAAGUAGGUUUUUGUGUCUGAUGUUGGGGUCGACUGCUCUUUGUUUGAUGUAGUUUAUAUAGGGGCAUUCGUCAGCCUAUGGGCUGGCCAUUAAAUGGCCACAGGUCAACUUGGUUCAAAAUCUUUCCUUGUGUGGUUUUCUAAAUUCCGUGGGUAGAGCUUGGGCCUCCAAGGACUUAGGCCUAACAUCUGGUCAGACGAUGUGGCUCCUAGAAUCUCUAAUUUUGAUUGAACAUAAUCCAUUGAUGUUGGGUGACUUGGAAUUUCAAUGAGUCCAUCUGCACCAUAUAUAUAUAUAAACAAAUAUAUAUAAAUAUAUAAAUAAAGCCACAGGAUUCAAGAGAUUUGUGGUCGCUCACCGUUGGAUGUAAAUUCAAUGGUUCACUCACUUUUGCACUUUUUUUAAGAAUUUUUUUUGAACCGUUGGAUAUUACAUCCAAUAGUUGGUGACUACAGUCUCUUGGACCCCUGUGGUCCAAAAGAUCAAGACUGUAAACAAAUAUAUAUAAAUAUAUAAAUAAAUAAAUAUAUAAAUAAAUAUAUUAUUAUAUAGAUGGUAUAAGGCCAUUAAUUAAAUAGCCAUCCGACUUUCAUCAGACCUUUUGGAUAAAGGUCUCUAGGCCAUUUGGCCUUUUGAAGGAGUUCGUCUGUGGUGCAUCGGCUGUACCGGUACGCCGAUCACAUGCUAGUCACGUGGGCUUUUUUUUAAAACAAUUGAAACUGGUUGUUUUGGUUAACCAGUUAAAAUGAGGAAAAAAAAUCAUGCUCCUUCAAAACCUAGGAUGCGUACUCGAUUUCGUCUAUCUCCUCCUCCAUAGCUUUGCACAGCCACAGCUCUAUUUCGUCGAAGUCACAGCUGCACAGCUUUCUACAGCCUGAAGAAGCUCCCCCCACUUCGUCUUCUCCAUCUGAGGAGCAGAUUUCAGCCAAAACCCAGAAACCCACUUCGUCUUCUCCAGCUGCUUCCUCCAUCUCGGUAAGUUCGUGUGUUGAUUUUCGUUAUGUGUAAUUGAUGGUUCUAUUUAAUUUAUUCUUCUUUUGUGUGAAUUUUGACCGGUGUGGCUGUAAAUGAAAUUUUGGGUUUUGCCAUUUAUUUGUUCCUUUUAAAAUUUAAUAUGUGAUUUACAAUUUGGCUGUAAAUGAGAAUUUGGUAGAUUAUUGUGCAGUUGAUUAAAGAAUUUAGAAAAUUAAAGUUAUGUACUUAACGAACAAUUUUUGCUUUUCAGUAACUUGCUGCUCUAGGUAAACAUCGAUUUGUCUUCCCUUUUUGUGCCAAAAGAUAGACAACUCCAAUUUUAUCGCAUAUAUUUUUAUGUUCUGUAAUGAUUGUUAGUAAGUAAUCUCUAUUAAGUCAGCCAACCAGCUUUCAUUUUAUCUUUUUUGGUAAUUAAAUCAAGGAUUUUGUUAUCAUGUUUAUAUGAUGUGAGUGAGGUGAUUUUUGGUGCUGUAAAUUGCUAAUCACUAGUGAUUUUGAAUUGUUGUUUCAGUUUUUUCACUGAACAAUUCCAGAAAUUAAUUAUUCAAAUUUUGUAUUUCUUUUCCCACUCUGCAUUUCUGCUGGGUUGUUAUAGCGCCUCUUGAUCUGAUUGUAUAUAUAAAUACCCAUGAGGCCUCUGAUUGUGUAUGAUUUAAUUGUGGUGGGAACUUCACUUCACACAGGACUUGGCAAGCAAGUCGAUGUUUCAGUAAUUUGUUGGUUAUCUGAAGCCUGUAUUGCAAGCAUUAGUGCCUGGUAUGAAGCACUCGUUUCAGUCUCUUAAGAUAUGCCAUGUAGAAACCCGGAGAUCAUUUAUGUACCCUUUAUGUUGGUAUGUGUUUGCUUGAAUUCCAAAUACUUGGAGGGUGUUGAUAUGUUUAAACUCAACUUUAAGAACUUGAAAGGGAAGAUGGGGGUCUGUUGUGUGAACAAAAAUUUAUUAGGUAGUCAAAAUAUAAAGCUUCUGUUGGUCAGAUUUUUGGUGUAUUUGAUUAGAGUCCUUCUGUACAGCCGAGGACGUGACUUUUUUUAAAAUACAAGGGAAACCAGCUGACCUGGUCAACAAGUAAACGAUUUCACGAGCUGCUGCUAAGGUGAACAGGUAAACGAUUUCACAUGCACACUCAGUUGACGUUCUUCUUCCGCAAAGUGGUAUGCUUCAACUUCAAACUGAUAAUCUUCAUCAUCUUCAAAGUCAUUUUCUUCAACUCCUCUUCUGUAGAAAGUUUCUUCCUCCUUUCUGCAACCUCUCUCUCUCUUCUUUGACAUCAUUGUCAAAAACCACCUAUUCUAGGGUUUGAAUUUUGGGGAAAAUUUUAGGGGUUAGCAUUUUGGGUUCAUAAUAGGAAUUGGAAUUCAGUUUUUCCAGUCACUGGUGGGUUAUUGGCACUCCUCUCGUCUGCAAUCGAGCCCUUGUGAAAGCAUUUGGUAUUAGUUCCUUGUGAAGGUAAGUUAACAUUGUUUUAUGGUAUUGUUAAUUGAAAUUCUGUGGUGAUGACUUGGGGCAAGAGGGGAAGUAGGUUUCUCACAUUCAUGAGAUGAAGUGGGUUUGUCAUUUUGAAAGUGUCGUGAAGUGAAGUGGGUAUCUCACAUUCAUGGUUGUAAUGUUCAUGCAAUUGCAUAUCUCUAUAUGCAAUUACUAAUAGCCUGUAUGCAAAUCCAAGUCAUUGAAUGCAAUUAGAGUAUAUAGUUUUGUUUUCAAAUUAUGCAAGUGAGGUGAUUUCGUGGUAGGUAGGUAGGUUUGACUGUGUUUUUGAAUAAUUUGUUAUAGGGAGUAAAGUGUUCCGAAAGUGUAAUGUUAGGCUUCGUUAAGAUUUGGAUUGGGAUUUGAAAUGAGUAAGAAUCUCGGCCCAAUAGAGAAAUGCAUGUGUGGGUUGUGUGCAUUAUCUAUGCAAUGUUAUAAUCGAGGGCUGAUGCACUUGCAAGUAGUAUCGAGCAAUUGCAUAUCAGUAUAUGCAAUUACUAAGCAACUGUAUGCAAAUCCAGGUCGCCGUAUUUUUUUAAUUAAGCAAUGUGAUGUUGUGGUGUUUACGGGGUUUAGGGGGUAUUAGGCUUUGGAUUAGUAUUCAAAUUCUCGGCGCUAGAGACAAUUGCAUGAUAGUAUUUUGUACUUGAUUUGUGCAAGUUAUGGAAGCUCAAAAAAGGGGAUCAACAAAAGGAAAGCGCAAAGUCGACAGUAAUGUGCAACAAUCAAGAGUUGGCCGAGAUGCAUUUUUUAAUUUCAUGUAAGUUACACGUACAUCUAAAAAUCGGAAAUGUAGUUGCUUAAUAUUAUGAUGGUUUUUUGAUUAAAAAUAAAUGAUUUACAAAAAAAAAAAAAAAGACAUAAAAUGGGGAAAGUGGCAAAUGCAAAGUUGGACAAUAAGGUGAGAGAUGGCAAUGGAUUGGGUUAGUUUAUUAAUUAUUUUAUUAAAAAGGCUCUUUUAAUGAGAUUUUUUUUUCCAGGUACAAGAAGAGAUUGCUAAUAAAUGGAGGAAAUUAAAUCUUAAAGAGAAGGCUACAUAUGAUUCUGCCUUGGAAGGUUCGAGUGGGCAAGUAAACGACUCAGUGAAUGAGAAGGGUUUUAUCACUAGAUGCAGCCCGGACCGAUUCCAAAAAACAUGCGUCUAAAGGAAGUAAGGGAGUUCGUUCGAAGAGUUGUCGACGAACAACUUGACAAGUUGGCCGAACAUGGUCCCUUCAUCCCUCAUCAUCCCAUCGCAAGGAAGCCAAUAACACGCUCCCAAGCAAAGUAGAAAGUUUGACAGUAAGUCAUAAGGGUUUAUAGUUUACAAAUUAGGUGUAAUUGCAUGUAUAUAUCCCUAUUUGCGCACAGUCAGGGUUCUUUUGUAGUAUAGCAAGUGCAAUUGCAUGACACGACCGUCGCACGUCAUGUAAUUCCAUUAUUCGCUUACAAAUGGUUUUUUGGUUUUCUUCACGACAUCGAAACAUUUCACGACCAGAUUGAACCGCCUAGUUUCAUUUGUUUGCUAUGGUACAUGUCUUGUUUCAAUAUUCAUCCACUAUAAUUCUAUUUUAUUUCUAUUACUUUGUAUUUAGAUAUAAUUUAGAUAUAAUAAAUAUAAGUAUAUAUUGAUUUUAGACAUACUGUAAAUCUAAACUAUUUACUCGAGACCUGAAUCCAAUUUCUUCACCUCACAGAGAUAAGGCCAAGGAUUACAAUAUCAACCAUGUAAAUAAUAUAGGGCCUCCAAUUUACGGAUAUUUCGGGGGAUAUAUUAUUAUCGUCUUAGGUAUCGGAAAAAAAAAAAAAAAGACAUAUAGGUAUUGAAACACAUAAUUUUGGUAUAAAACUUUCAUAAAUGUUAUGUACAUUAUCAAUGAAUGUAUUGAACAAAUAAAACUCAAAAUUUACUAAUACUAAGAUAUACAUAUGAUGAAAUAUAAGUGGUAUGUAAUGCGUGUUAAUGAAAAGUUUGAAAAUAAAAUGUUGAUUAGAAUGAAUAAACCAUGCAUAAAUCCAUAGUUUGUUUUAACAUUGGAUUACAAUUUAGAUAAGUGUCCAUCUACAUAAAUGAAGAGCUCCAAUGAGGUUCAAACAAUGAGGAACAACCAUCUAGAUUCAUACAAUAGUCAUACCAAGUUACGUAACCCGAGCAGUUUGUAAGCCAUGUUUGAACAUGGUGCACAUAGGUCUCGCUUGAGCUCUCUACUAUCUUCCCAUAUAUGAGAUAGUUAAGAUUAACCCAACUAGUAGAAAAGGGCGGCCCUGAAAUAGUGCAAGUGGCGCCAAUACACAGGGCCCCUGAUUUUUGAGGACCCCCUAAAUUUUUUUAUUUUACAUAAUUUAUAUUAAUAUUAUAACAACUGUAUAUAUACUCCAACGUGCAACAAAUUGACACAAAAAUUUAUUUAGUGGAGUUGGUUUCUAGUGCAUAUCCCUUGGUACAAGGCUUACAUGAAAAAUUUUAAGAACCACAUUUUAAAUAGUUUUAAAAAAGAAGCACCUGAAAAAUAUCAGGGGAAAGAUCCAGUUAAAUUAACAAUACUAUAUAUCACCCAUACGCUUUUUCUUUAAAAAAUAAUAAUAAUAAUUCCUUCGACUCAAAACAAAACAAAACAACAUAAAAAAUAAAAAAUCAUGUCUUCUUCUUUCUCAUGAACUCUUAUUUUUUUUCUUACCGAACACACCAACAUUUAACUUUAUCAAAUGAACACAACGUACUCAACAAACGCAACCAUUGCGUUCGCGUGAAAAAUAGUGUGUUUGUUUGAAAAAGAAGGUUAGUGGGGUCCAUUUUCCUGAGGAACGGGCAACUUUACUCUACGAACGCACUCCUUGCAUUCGCAUGAAUAAAUAUCCCGUUUGUUUGAAAAAGUAAGUUUAUUUGGCCCAUUUUUCCGGGGAAUGGGCAACUUUACUCAACGAACGCAACCUCAGCGUUCGAGUGAACAAAUAGCCCGUUUGUUUGAAAAAUUAAGUUAGUUGGACCCAUUUUUCCGGGGAAUGGGCAACUUUACUCAACAAACGCAACCUCUAUAGCCCGUUUGUUUGAAAAAUUAAGUUAGUUUGGCCUAUUUUUUCGGGGAACGGGCAACUUUACUUAACAAACACAACCCCUGCGUUCGCGUGAACAAAUAGUCUGUUUGUUUGAAAAAGUAAGUUAGUUGGGCCCUUUUUUUAGGAAACGGACAACUUUACUCCACGAACGCAACCCAUUGCGUUCGCGUGAACAAAAAGCCUGUUUGUUUGAAAAAGUAAGUUAUUGGGCCAAUUUUUUCUAAGAACGAGCAACUUUACUCAAUGAACGCAAUCCCUGCGUUUACAUGAACAAAUAGCCUGUUUGUUUGAAAAAGUAAUUAGUUUGGCCAUUUUUUCAAGGAACGGGGAACUUUACUCAACGAACGCAACCCCUGCAUUCGCGUGAACAAAUAACUUGUUUUCUUGAAAAAGUAGGUUAGUUGGGCCCAUUUUUCCGGAGAACGGACAACUUUACUCAAUGAACGCAACCCAUUGCGUUCGCGUGAACAAAUAGCCCGUUUGUUUGAAAAAGUAAGUUAGUUGGGCUCAUUUUUCCGGGGAACGAGCAACUUUACUCAACGAACGUAACCCCUGCGUUUAUGUGAACAAAUAGCCCGUUUGUUUCAAAAAGUAAGUUAGUUGGGCUCAUUUUUCCGAGGAACGAGCAACUUUACUCAACGAACGUAACACCUGCGUUUAUGUGAACAAAUAGCCCGUUUGUUUGAAAAAGUAAGUUAGUUUGGCCCAUUUUUUCAGGGAACGGGAAACUUUACUCAACGAACGCAACCCCUGUGUUCGCAUGAACAAAUAGCCCGUUUGUUUGAAAAAGUAAGUUAGUUGGGCCCAUUUUUCUAGGGAACGGACAACUUUACUCAACGAAUGCAACCCCUGCGUUCGCAUGAACAAAUAGCCAGUUUGUUUGAAAAAGUAAGUUCGUUUGGCCCAUUUUUUCGAGGAACGGGCAACUUUACUCAACGAACGCAACCCUUGCGUUUACGUGAACAAAUAGCCCGUUUGUUUGAAAAAGUAAGUUAGUUGUGCCCAUUUUUCGUGGAACAAGCAAGUUUAUUCAACAAACGCAACCCCUGCGUUUACGUGAACAAAUAACUCGUUUGUUUGAAAAAGUAAGUUAGUUUGGCCAAGUUUUUCCGGGGAACGGAUAACUUUACUCAACGAACGCAAACCCAAUGUUCGUGUGAACAAAUAGCCCGUUUGUUUGAAAAAGUAAGUUAGUUGUGCCCAUUUUUCGUGGAACAUGCAAGUUUAUUCAACAAACGCAACCCUUGCGUUUACGUGAACAAAUAGCCCGUUUGUUUGAAAGUUUGGCCCAUUUUUCCGGGGAAUGACCAACUUUACUCAACGAACGCAACCUCUGCGUUCGCGUGAACAAAUAGCUCGUUUGUUUGAAAAAGUAAGUUAGUUGGGCCCAUUUUUUCGGGAACGGACAACUUUACUCAACGAACGCAAUCUCUUGCGUUCGUGUGAACAAAUAGCCCGUUUGUUUGAGAAAGUAAGUUAGUUGGGGCCAUUUUUCCGCAGAAUGGGCAACUUUACUCAACGAACGCAACCCUUGUAUUUGCGUGAACAAAUAGCCCAUUUGUUUGAAAAAGUAAGUUAGUUAUGGCUAUUUUUCCGGACAAUGUGUAUUACAACGUAAUUUCGAUAAUGGGUCAUUUUGUAAUAUAAUAUGUUCGCCUUAUUGCCCAUUACCGUUUCUUAUGCUCCGUAUUUCGGUUAAUUUCGACCUUCGAUUUAUAGUUCAAAAAACAGGUGUAAUUAUGCCUGUACAAAAGAGUAUGAUUCAAUUUUCUGAACAAUUAAGGGUUUGCGCACAGAAGGACUUGCAUUGCAGCAUUGUCAUGCAAUUGCAUGUGCUAAAGGCAAAUACCGACCCCCUGUGUGCAAACUGAACAAAGCUUAACAACGCUAUGCUGAUUAAUGUAUAGCGCAAUGACAAACAAAACCAAGCACAGACUUUAUUAUGACCCUAUGUCUAUUAUUCAAUAUUAGGGUUAAUGACAUUGUGUUGUACACAAUUCGGGAUCUACCCUCAAGUCAUUUGUGGUACAUGACAAUGUGUAGUACAACGUAAUUUCGAUAAUUGGUCGUUUUGUAAUAUAAUAUGUUCGCCUUAUUGCCCAUUACCGUUUCUCAUGCUCCGUAUUUCGGUUAAUUUCGACCUUCGAUUUAUAGUUCAAAAAACAUGUGUAAUUAUGCCUGUACAAAAGAGUCUGAUUCAUUUUUCCGAACAAUUAGGGGUUUGCGCACAAAAGGACUUGCAUUGCAGCAUCAUCAUGCAAUUGCAUGUGUUAAAUGCAAAUACGGACCCCCUGUGUGCAAAGUGAACAAAUCUUAACAACGCUAUGCGGAUUAAUGUAUAGCGCAAAGACAAACAAAACCAAGCAAACACUUAGUUGCCCCUAUGUCUCUUAUUCAAUAUUAGGGUUAAUGACAUUGUCUUUUACACAAUUCGGGAUCUACCCUCAAGUCAUUUGUGCUACAUGACAAUGUGUAGUACAACGUAAUUUCGAUAAUUGGUUGUUUUGUAAUAUAAUAUGUUCGGCUUAUUUGCAUUACCGUUUCUCAUGCUCCGUAUUUCAGUUCAUUUCAACCUUCGAUUUAUAGUUCAAAAAACAGGUGUAAUUAUGCUUGUACAAAAGAGUAUGAUUCAAAUUUUCUGAACAAUUAGGGGUUUGCGCACAGAAGCACUUGCAUUGCAUCAUCGGCAUGCAAUUGCAUGUGUUAAAUGCAAAUACCGACCCCCUGUGUGCAAACUGAACAAAGUUUAACAACGCUAUGCUGGUUAAUGAAUGUAUAUACCAAAGAACAACAAAGCUUAACAACGGUAUGCUGAUUAAUGCUGAUUAAUGAAUGUAUAAUAUUAAUUGUUACAUGUAAACCAAGUUCGAAAACUACAAUUGUUUUGGGUUGAACCAGUACAUAGGGAAUUAGGUUCCCCAUUGUCGAAUGAGAAACCAUCGUCACUGUUGGGGGUAGAACCAGUUGGGUCUGCAGUAGAAAAACUAUCAGAACCAGGUAAAUCAACCACAUAGUUCCCAUGGCAUUGAGAAACUGUUUGACUAGGAUAACUGUAGCUAAUGUCCGGGAACGGCCGGAUAUCAGAAGUAUACUGAUAUCCUUCACUACCUGAUGAGAUAUUCACACAUGCAUGUCUACUUGGAUGCAAAUUUCUUUGAGAGCAAUUAAAAGAGCAAAUUUCUUUUAAUUGCACCACGUAUAACUGUUUCGCAACAAAAAACAUGCAAUUGCAUCAACUCAGUACCCAAAAUACAUUCAAGUCCUAAACCAGAAAAUAGGGUUCUUUGAAAUCUUACUUGAUGUUUCCAUACUUUCAAAGCCUCCUCCUUUCACUUCCUUUUGCCACCACCUCAAAUUUCGUCGUUAACACCCAAGGAUCUUCAAAAUCUUUACAACCACGUUAUUAUUACAAAUCCAUUCCCCUGCAACAUUUUAAUUAUAUAUCAGACAAUGCCAACAGCCCAUACUAAAUUACUUAAAUCCCUCCAAUUUGGUGACCAUUUCAUCAUGGAGGUUGGACCCACCAUCAAUUUUGUAUCUGCAUAUCAGUUUUGGGCAACUAGAGAGAAGAGUUGAGGACCUCAAUUCUAUUACCAUUACCUUCUUGCAGAUGCGUUUUGCCCAAGCACAGACAGGAGUUGCUAAGGAUUGGAUUUGGGCAAGCACAGAGAAGAGCUCCUGGAAGCGCUACGGAUUGGAUGGGCUUCAUGUACAGUUUCCUCUGGUGCUGUGACUUCUGUAAGCCCCCCUUCACUUCAGAUGAAAGGGCUAAAGCCCGACUCUCUACUGCCCCGAAAAUUCAGUAUUCACUGAGGUAGACAGGAAAUGGGGUCUCACAGAGUCCUCUAGUUCCCUAUGUUGUGUUCGAUUUGGGAAACCAGAUGGAGCGGACUUGGCGCGUCUUCUUCUCCUCCAAACCUGCCUUUCUCUUUCCUCACAUGCCACUCACAUGCUGAAUCACAAAGGCUGAACAGGUCAUUAAGUCAUUGAAUCUCAGCCAUCCUUUUUUAACAUGGAACCUCAACCGUUGGAUAGCCGGCUGUACCGGUACAGCUGAGGCACCACAGAAUUCUCGCUUUUUGAAGAAGCUCAGCCAAGGUGAUGUGGCCUCUUGUCCCUUCAUAUCAAAAUAUAUAUUUGCAUAGAUCAAUAAGUUUUUCUGGCCUAGACUAUGGACAAUCAAGUCUAGUUGGCCAAAUGACCAUUUGGCUGGCCAAUUAAUAUUUUAAUAUCCUAAAUUCUUUAUGUCAGAAUGCCAUUUAACAUGCCCGCCAGCUACUAUCUUCUCAGCCACACUUCUCCAGCCAACUUAAAAGAUCAUCUUUGGCCAUUUGUUCGUGCUAAUAUAUAUAUAAUAAUAAUAAUGCAUUAUUAUAUUGUGCAUAGACUUGGCAUUCAUCGAUUCUAGCCCUCAAACCGCAUGCAUCCCCAGGCUACCAAAAUCUCAUUCAUUUGUUCACAAAACCAUUGGCCUUAAGAAAGGGCCCCACAUUUUAUUGUUAGGUGCUUAAGACCUCCAACUUCUAAGGGAAGUCACAGCCAUCUAACUCCUCCAAGUCAAUACCCAGCAACAAUUGCAAAUGGGUUUUGUGCUGUGGUGAAGACAAACGAGACCCACUUUCCUCAUUGGGUUCAAUAAACCUCAGCUGUCUCACCUCGCUUGUGAAGCUUUGUCACUUAGCUAUUUUACUUUGAAGCUCACAAAGCAGAGCUGAAAACCCCACAGGGCCUCAAAUUUCCAAUCGCAUCGUUCUCAAGCCAAUAUCCAGCAACCAAGAUUCCAUGAAGAAAAGUGAGUUGACCUUCCUUCUUUAAUCUUCAAGUUAAACAACAGCAUCCCAUUUUCCUUAUAUAUAUAUAUAUGUUAUUAUUUGAAAGGAUUUUAAAUUUUAAAACGUUUUUAUUUUCUGUUUUAAUUUUUGGUUGGUUUCCUUUAUUUAUUAUAGGAGUUACAAAUUGUUUAAUUUUCAGUUUUUAUUUUCUAUUCAUUGCCACCAACUUUUAUGGUUAAAUGUGUUUGGAGGUUACGAGUUUUGGAUGCCUAUAAAAGGCCACUCCUCCUUCACAUUUCAUAUAACACAAUCAGAUUUCUCUAUUCUCAUACUUUCACAUAUUCCAUACUUUCUAUAUUAUUUUUGGGCAACGGUUCUGUGGCUUGGAGUUUUCUAUCCGACUGUGAACGUGCUCAUAGCGGAUCUUAAGCCUGUGUAUUGGGGUCGUAUCUUGGAGUCUUGUAGACCGUCAUUACCUGCACGUAGGGAGGCUACAAAGGCUUUAGGACAGCGUCUUUGACGUGCUUUCACUAUACCAGGCUUGCUUUCUUAAUCUUAACUUGUUUUAUUUAUUUGUUUACUUGGCUCUUUAUUUUACUUUAUUGUUUAAUAUUUAUUUUAUAUAUUAUUUAUAUCUAAAAGUUUUGAAUAAGAAUUUUAUAAAAAGGGAAAAACCACUAUUUUAAUAACAAUAUAUAUAUAUAUAUAUUUAAAUCUAGCUGUUGGGCUUUAGGAAUACGAUCGUGUCGCAAGAACUUGAUUUGAUGGGGUGGACUCAACCUGGCUGUUUUAAGGUCUCACAAGUGAGUGGUGAGUCAAGUCCAAAAUCUUGGAUUAUCUUAGCUGAUUAUUUAUUCCAAAUCCAACUCAUUGGAUUUUAUCGAACUUUUUUGCCAUUUGUUUAUUGGCUAGGCCUUGUGGAGCUGAAUAUCACUUGACUUGGUUGGAAUUUGGUGACCAUAUACAAACAGGCUUAUAAGUAGUUAGGCUACUCCGUUCAAUGCCAAUUGCUUUUCGUGUGGGACCUCAAUUUCGUUCAUGGUAUCAGAGCAGGUUAUCCACGUGUUGGACUCAACAGCCACACGUGCUCCCAUGUCACACAAUAUGUGUUGUCUAAAUGUUAGCUUCAAAGUUCGCUACACAUUUGGGGGCAUGCUAACAAUUUGUCCUACAUUGAAGAGUUAAAGGAGCUAACAUAGGCUUAUAAGAAGUUAAAUCACUCCCUUCAUUGUUGAUUGGUUUUUCAUAUUAUUAGAGUACGCUAUCCUAAUUUCAAAAAAUAUGAAUUUGUGACAUGAGGACUAAAACGUGAUUUAUGUUCCGUGAAUGUGCUGAUGUUUAGUGAGGGACUUAUUCUUUCAAACAAAUAUGUUACGUGUUUUUGAAUAUUUUCAAAAGUUAUUAAGGAUUAAAGAAUAAUUGCAAGGGGUUUGGACAUAGCUCAAGUGGUUAAGAUUCAAGAGCAUUUACCUCUACAUCCAAAGUUUUAAGUUCGAUUUUUCAAUAUCACCUGUAUCCAAAAAAGACAAAAAGAAAAAGAAAAAGAGAAUAAUUGAAUACAACAUUAAUGAACAAUCUAACUACAUCACUUUAAAAACAAUAGAUAACCGUAACACCUAAACAAUCGAGGUCAUUUAGACUCAAGGCCAUCAAACUCAACGCUCACCUAGGACUCAAGACCAUACACUUUAGAUACCGACGAUGGUCGUUGGAUCCCUGAUCUAAAACUCAUAUUGGCUUGUACAUCGCUUAGCUGGUGAUUCGGAUUGUUUCCAUGUCGACAAUGAAACUUAUCCCUAUCGUCUCUGGCCGACCUUGACCCUUAUUAUUUUGAGGUUUUUUUUAUCUUUUAUUUAUUCGUUUACAUAUUUAUUCACGAGACAUGAAAAGAAAACAAGCAUUUUUUUUUUUGUUUUUUUUUGUUUUUUGGUUGGGUCGAAGCAAAUAAGUUAUAUGCAUAUGACCAUACCAUAUUUCACAUAUUGCUGUGCUACUUAAUGGUUCAAGGUCUACACUUUCUUGAAACUUGGAUGUGUUUCCAACGAGACUCCAUGUAAAAGGAGUCAUUAUGCUGGGCGUAUACACCACAUUUGAAUGCAUGAGAUGUGCCUCCACGACCAUCUGCCUCUAAUUUGAGACAUCCAUCAAUGUAAACCUUCACUUUUGCAGCUUCAACAUCGUGAAUCACAUUCAACUUGAACCAUUUGUCAUAGAUGUUUGGUACCAACACUGGACCCGUGUAGUACAUGAGUGAACCAUUGUAAACCCCAAGCAUUAGAGUUGUGGCAUGAGGAGCACUUGCUCCAAACACUUGCAUUAUGCACACACUUGAUGUCCCAUAUGGUACAUAGCCAUAUGCUUCAAAUUCCCACACCCCGGAAGAGUAAUUGUAUCCCUGCAAUACAUACAAAGAGUUAAUGUUCUGUGAAUGUGGACCAUUGAUCAUGUUGAAUUUUGACAUAAUGUAAUGUGCGGUCUAAACAAUUGUAACAUUAGUUUGUUAAGAGAAUCUUACUUGUAUGGCAAUCUCAGUACGGGGCAUGGUUUGGCUGGUAGUAGUGUGAGGUUUGUCUGUAGAGUAGACCCAACAUUUAUGAAUUCCAUCGACGAAGCUGUAGCGCUGCUCUUCGGGGACAUCAUAAGGCUUCUGAAUAUGGUAGUAUGAUCGGUUAAAAGGGAGGGAGACAAAGCCUUGUGUAGGAACAUCAGGUCCCCAAGCUAAGGCUUGGAGUAGAAUGGGCUGAAGAAAGCUGAUCAUCAAGCAGAAGAAACCUAGCAACUGAAAAGAAGAGUCAUAUGCCAUUCUUUUCUGAAGAAGACUAUCGAAAAUAUUGCAUAUAGGUUGGAGUGGUUGAAAUACAUAUAUAUAGAGUGAUAUGACAAGUAUACUCACACGGAGCCAAACCACAAUGUGAGACUAUUCUUCAACACUUCUCCUCACGUAGAUUCCUCUCUUUUAAAAUGAUAAUACAUGGGAGCAACUAGUCCAGGUGAUUGUAUAAUCAUACCAGAAAUUAAUGGUGGUUAAAAACGAGUGCUGUUUAUAGAAGUAAAAACCGUACUGAAUGUGCACUAUUAUAUUAAAAUUAUAACAAUAUUACAACCAUCACAUUCUUAAGGGUUCCCGUCAAACAGAAACAAACAACAAAGAUAUAAAGAAACAAUAAAAUUUAUAUUUACAAACUUACAAAAAUAUAUAGGGUAAUGUUCUUUCAAAAGUCUAGCAUGUGAUGUUAAAGUUAACCUAACAAGCAAUAGUCUAGAGUAAGAAUCAGAACAUUCCCGGAAAAAAACACAACAAUUAUUAGUUUAGUUAGGAGUUCAAGUCAAGACUCGGAGUGCUAGGUCUAGCCCAAAAGAAAAGGAAAAAAAAACUGGACAGAUGACAGGAAACAAAAUCCAAAACAAUAGAGACAAGAAAAUAUAAUUGGAAAAAAAGUAGGUGAUAGUUGAUUAAGAUGCUAUUGAGCAUUAACGUCAACCGAAAAGGUGGAGAUGAAUUUAAUUAGACAGCCGCUACAACCAUAGUUGUCCAGGGCAACAAACUUUCUUAUGCUGCCUCCCCCUCUAAACAUUGCUUGUUUAUUUGUUUAAGAGAGCCUCUCAAAGCAAAGCAUGUCAAGCUAUCCCUAGCUUGCAGCCAAGGGCUCAAAGCCAACUAGUACCUGAGGACUUUUCGACAUCGAUCACAAACCGAUACCUGACAUUCGAUUUGGCGAGCCGUGCCAUUGCUGUUUUAAUGUAAUCCAUUGGGAUGAGCUCAAUGACAUGCCAAGAUUAGAAAAAAUAAGGACGUCCGCAUUAGAUGACUACAUAAAUCUACAUUAUUUUUUUCCAAGACUGCAUUAAUCUAUGUAGGGUAGUAGUCUUUUUCCAAAUAAAUGACAUGUUAUGUUACUAAAUUAUUAAUUGAGAAAGCAUAUCUAGUCUAGAUUAACAAUUUCACAAUCUCGCAACAUAACAUGUAAAAUUAUUUCACAAGAGAAUUUUUCCCUCCAAGAACACAACGUUUAGGAUUGUGGGGCUUGGUUUAGCAAGGAAGUUAAAGUCACAGCGUCAUGAAGUCUCUUUCAUUUUUUCAGUCAAACACAGGGUCACAAAGACUAGGGGCCUUGGUUUGACCAAAAAAAGAGACAGAUCUCACGAAGGAACCAAAGCGCAAAACAAUAAAGACGAGAAAUAUAAUUGCACAAAGAGUAGGUGAAAGUUGAUUCACAUCAUAAACGUCAACCGAAAGGGUGGAAGACCAAUUUAACUAGACGGGUUCAACCAUAAAGUGUCCAGCACAAAAAGGUUUCUGAUGUAACCUCCAUAAACCCUAAGGUGGAAGAUCAAUUUAUCACCAAUACAAUAAUUAACCAUUACUUAUUUUAAUGAGAGUCUGAAAGCAUGUGAAGCUAGCAGUAAAGCCAUCACAGCCAAUCUACUGAGUCAAGGAGUUCCCCACAUCGAUCACAAACCGAUACCGGACAUCAGAUUUGGCAAUUCUUUCCAUCGCAGUGUUAAUGUAAUCCAUUCUAAUCAGCUCGAUGUCUGAGGUAAUAUUGUGCUUGGCACAAAAGUCAAGCAUCUCCUGCGUCUCUUUCACCCCUCCUAUGUCACUUCCCCCUACAAGCUUCCGUCCUGAAAGCCAUGACAAGAUUAGAGGAUAUUACAGAAACUGAACAGUAGAUUAUGUUUCUAGAACACAUGAUACAGAAUUCGAGCAUUAGUUCAUGUUUCUAGAGCCCCUUGCAUUCUACUAGGAUAGGCGGAGACAAGCACCAAACAAACAUAAACACCACCAAAAGAAAGCAUAAGCAAUUUGUUAAUAUCUGUUUGGAAAUCAGGGAUUGAUCAGGCAAUUUAACACUUCGUGUUUCUCCUGAAUAGAAUAUCCCCAUCAUAACGUCUUAGGCACAAUGCCCACGAAAAGCUAUAAGCCUGGAAAUAAGUUAAAAGUUGCACAUUGAUGCAUCCUCCUCCUAAUAGAAAAAUUCAGUCUUUGUUGUUAUAAAACAAAACAAUGAAGUGUUUGUGGUCAGAUAGGCAUACCCAAAACUAAGGGAAAGAUUGGCAACUCCAGGGGCUUGUCAGGCAAACCCACCGUGACCAGCUUCCCAUUCAGCUUCAGUAGACCAAUUAAUGGAGCCAACGCAUGAACUGCAGACACCGUGUCAAUGAUGUAAUCCAUGGUACCCAUUGCUGCCUGCAUAGUAAAAGCAGGAAACAGCAAAAUAUUAGGGUAAAUCACUAAAUAUUCUAGACCUUCUGAGAAGAGGAACCAAAAAAUAAACAUUAUGGAAUCAAUCUGCAGAACAACGUAUAAUGUGGAGUUGUUGAGGUAGGUCAUAUCAAAGAUCUGAGAUUUGUUCGCAGCAUUGCACCUAGAUGUUUCAUUUCUUGUAUUAUUUACCACUAGCCUCUUUGCACUGGUGCAUGAAGGGUGACUAACUAAACUGUUAUUGACUUCGAGGAUGACUAACUAAAUUGAUAAGUAUUGAGGGUAGUGGGAAAGAAAGCUAAGAACGGUUAUAUUUUACUAUAAAUUUGUAAACUAUUUCAAUGGAAUAUUUUACUCUUGUUAUAUAAAUUGGUUUGUUGUAGCCAUUUCUUAAGUGGAGCAUGUUAAGGGAUUUUGUAAGUUUCAUGGUUCCUCCUUGUAGAUAUAGAUUACCUUCAAUUUUGCAGGGUCACUUGAGAGGAGAAAAGAAUCAGCUCCAAGUCUCUUAACAGCCUCAUCCUCCUUUCCUGGGGAGGAACUGAUGACAGUCACUUUCAAACCAAAAGCCUUACCAAUCUUCACAGCCACAUGACCAAGCCCACCAAGUCCUGCCACACCCAAAUGCUUUCCAGGCUCAGUCAUGCCAUAAUAUUUCAUUGGACUGUACACAGUGAUCCCAGCACAUAAAAGUGGUGCACCCGCAUCAAGGGCUAAGUUAUCUGGAAAGCGGAGCACAUAGCGAUGGUGAACAACAAUCAUAUCGGAAUAACCACCAUAAGUUUUUGUUCGGUCGUGAUCAAGUGAGUUAUAGGUAAAUAUUGUUCGAGGGCAGUAGUUCUCUAAGUCCUGGUCGCAGGUCUCACAUUUCAUGCAGGAACCUACUAUGACCCCAACUCCUACACGAUCACCUACUUUGAAUUUCUCCACAUUCUUCCCAGCUUUGGUCACAACACCAACAAUUUCAUGCCUGG